This is a non-coding RNA of Biomphalaria pfeifferi, 205 nucleotides long. Lineage: Eukaryota; Metazoa; Mollusca; Gastropoda; Planorbidae. The record is from the annotation of a GenBank genome assembly.
GCGUCAAGAAACAAUUUAAUUCUCAGUCCUCCCCCCGCCUCUUUUCCCACAAAAACCCUUUUACAUUUUUUUUUGUCGUUUUUUUUUUGUUUCGAAAGCAAAGCUUUGAGGAUAUUCAUGUCUUGUUGGAAAUAAAACCUUUUUGGGCUUUUUCAAUGAGCGAAACAUUCCGACUGCUAGAGUACACUUUUCUUUCCACACCAGU